This 283-nucleotide unclassified non-coding RNA is filed under the name uncultured fungus. RNAcentral's name for it is "partial contains small subunit ribosomal RNA, internal transcribed spacer 1, and 5.8S ribosomal RNA". The stretch from base 1 to 73 matches the Rfam family "Eukaryotic small subunit ribosomal RNA", at positions 1759 to 1831 of the family's 1831-position model. The record is from RNAcentral. Lineage: Eukaryota; Fungi.
GCAAACUUGGUCAUUUAGAGGAAGUAAAAGUCGUAACAAGGUUUCCGUAGGUGAACCUGCGGAAGGAUCAUUAACGAGUUUUUAAUUGUUAGAUUAGAGUUGAGCUGGUUAACUUUGUUAACAUCAGUGCUCGCUUUAAUUGACAAGUCCACUCAUCAUUUAACACUUGUGAACUUAUUCAUUAUAAACAUUAUCAUUUGUUAUUGGAACGUUUGAAUUAUAACAAGUUAAUACAACUUUCAACAACGGAUCUCUUGGUUCUCGCAUCGAUGAAGAACGCAGC